Molecule: ribosomal RNA, 253 nt
Filed under: uncultured bacterium
Lineage: Bacteria
Description: partial 16S ribosomal RNA
Rfam family: Bacterial small subunit ribosomal RNA
Source: RNAcentral
UACGUAGGGUGCAAGCGUUAAUCGGAAUUACUGGGCGUAAAGCGUGCGCAGGCGGCUUUGCAAGACAGAUGUGAAAUCCCCGGGCUCAACCUGGGAACUGCAUUUGUGACUGCAAGGCUAGAGUACGGUAGAGGGGGAUGGAAUUCCGCGUGUAGCAGUGAAAUGCGUAGAUAUCAGGAGGAAUACCGAUGGCGAAGGCAGGUCUCUGGGCUAUAACUGACGCUCAUGCACGAAAGCGUGGGGAGCAAACAGG